CCUACGGGAGGCAGCAGUAGGGAAUAUUGCUCAAUGGGGGAAACCCUGAAGCAGCAACGCCGCGUGGAGGAUGAAGGUUUUCGGAUUGUAAACUCCUUUUGUUAGAGAAGAUAAUGACGGUAUCUAACGAAUAAGCACCGGCUAACUCCGUGCCAGCAGCCGCGGUAAUACGGAGGGUGCAAGCGUUACUCGGAAUCACUGGGCGUAAAGCGCGCGUAGGCGGGAUAGCAAGCCAGAUGUGAAAUCCUAUGGCUUAACCAUAGAACUGCAUUUGAAACUGUUAUUCUAGAGUAUGGGAGAGGUAGGUGGAAUUCUUGGUGUAGGGGUAAAAUCCGUAGAGAUCAAGAGGAAUACUCAUUGCGAAGGCGACCUGCUAGAACAUAACUGACGCUGAUGCGCGAAAGCGUGGGGAGCAAACAGGAUUAGAUACCCCGGUAGUC
Molecule: ribosomal RNA, 440 nt
Filed under: uncultured bacterium
Lineage: Bacteria
Description: partial 16S ribosomal RNA
Rfam family: Bacterial small subunit ribosomal RNA
Source: RNAcentral